RNAcentral lists this ribosomal RNA (484 nucleotides) under uncultured bacterium. RNAcentral describes it as "partial 16S ribosomal RNA". It matches the Rfam family "Bacterial small subunit ribosomal RNA", at positions 30 to 507 of the family's 1533-position model. The record is from RNAcentral.
AUUGAACGCUGGCGGCAGGCCUAACACAUGCAAGUCGAGCGGAUGAAGGGAGCUUGCUCCUGGAUUCAGCGGCGGACGGGUGAGUAAUGCCUAGGAAUCUGCCUGGUAGUGGGGGAUAACAUCCGGAAACGGGCGCUAAUACCGCAUACGUCCUGAGGGAGAAAGUGGGGGAUCUUCGGACCUCACGCUAUCAGAUGAGCCUAGGUCGGAUUAGCUAGUUGGUGGGGUAAAGGCCUACCAAGGCGACGAUCCGUAACUGGUCUGAGAGGAUGAUCAGUCACACUGGAACUGAGACACGGUCCAGACUCCUACGGGAGGCAGCAGUGGGGAAUAUUGGACAAUGGGCGAAAGCCUGAUCCAGCCAUGCCGCGUGUGUGAAGAAGGUCUUCGGAUUGUAAAGCACUUUAAGUUGGGAGGAAGGGCAGUAAGUUAAUACCUUGCUGUUUUGACGUUACCAACAGAAUAAGCACCGACUAACUUCGUG